GACGAACGCUGGCGGCGUGCUUAACACAUGCAAGUCGAACGCUGAACCCACUUCGGUGGGGGAUGAGUGGCGAACGGGUGAGUAACACGUGGGCAACCUGCCCCCGGCUCUGGGAUAACUCCAAGAAAUUGGGGCUAAUACCGGAUGUGACCGCUGGCCGCAUGGUCUGGUGGUGGAAAGGGUUUCCGGCUGGGGAUGGGCCCGCGGCCUAUCAGCUUGUUGGUGGGGUAGUGGCCUACCAAGGCGACGACGGGUAGCCGGCCUGAGAGGGUGACCGGCCACACUGGGACUGAGACACGGCCCAGACUCCUACGGGAGGCAGCAGUGGGGAAUAUUGCGCAAUGGGCGGAAGCCUGACGCAGCGACGCCGCGUGGGGGAUGACGGCCUUCGGGUUGUAAACCUCUUUCAGCAGGGACGAAGCGCAAGUGACGGUACCUGCAGAAGAAGCACCGGCCAACUACGUG
This 465-nucleotide ribosomal RNA is filed under the name uncultured bacterium. RNAcentral describes it as "partial 16S ribosomal RNA". It matches the Rfam family "Bacterial small subunit ribosomal RNA", at positions 28 to 507 of the family's 1533-position model. The record is from RNAcentral.